Molecule: small nuclear RNA, 107 nt
Filed under: Peromyscus maniculatus bairdii (prairie deer mouse)
Lineage: Eukaryota; Metazoa; Chordata; Mammalia; Rodentia; Cricetidae
Source: RNAcentral
GUGCUUGCUUCGGCAGCACAUAUACUAAAAUUGGAACGAUACAGAGAAGAUUAGCAUGGCCCCUGCUCAAGGAUGACAUUCAAAUUUGUGAAGCGUUCCAUAUUUUU